Molecule: transfer RNA, 65 nt
Filed under: Staphylinidae sp. BMNH 1274640
Lineage: Eukaryota; Metazoa; Arthropoda; Insecta; Coleoptera; Staphylinidae
Description: tRNA-Gly
Source: RNAcentral
AUUUAUAUAGUAUAAUUAUUAUUUUUGAUUUCCAAUCAAAAGAUCUAAAUUGUUUAGUAUAAAUA